GUGAUAAAUUUCAUCUAAAGCUAAAUAUUCGCCAGAGACCGAUAGCGCACGUAGUAGAGUGAUCGAAAGAUGAAAAGCACUUUGGAGAGAGAGUCACACAGUACGUGAAAUUGUUGAAAGGGAAGCGCUUGCAACCAGACUGGCCCGCGGGUGAUCACCCGGUAUUCUUACCGGCGCACUCACCCGCGGUCAGCCCAGCAUCGGUUUGGGCGGCUGGAUAAAGUCCACUGGAAUGUAGCUCCUCUCGGGGAGUGUUAUAGCCAGAGGUGCCAUGCAGCCCGCCCGGACCGAGGACCGCGCUUCGGCUAGGAUGCUGGCGUAAUGGUUGUAAGCGACCCGUCUUGAAACACGGACCAAGGAGUCUAACAUCUAUGCGAGUGUUUGGGUGUCAAACCCAUGCGCGUAAUGAAAGUGAACGGAGGUGGGAACCCUUAAGGGUGCACCAUCGACCGAUCCUGAUGUCUUCGGAUGGAUUUGAGUAAGAGCAUAGCUGUUGGGACCCGAAAGAUGGUGAACUAUGCCUGAAUAGGGUGAAGCCAGAGGAAACUCUUGUGGAAACUCGCAGCGGUUCUGACGUGCAAAUCGAUCGUCAAAUUUGGGUAUAGGGGCGAAA
Molecule: ribosomal RNA, 613 nt
Filed under: Acarospora mayrhoferi
Lineage: Eukaryota; Fungi; Ascomycota; Lecanoromycetes; Acarosporales; Acarosporaceae
Description: partial large subunit ribosomal RNA
Rfam family: Eukaryotic large subunit ribosomal RNA
Source: RNAcentral